UCGAUUUUAUGUUAAAAUUGAUUAAAGCCAUACAGCUUUAAACAUGAUGCUCCAGGUUAUUGGGAUUACUGCUGAUGAAUAACAGGAAUCAGUAAAUAAAAAAAUCCUUCAUUUAUCCAAACAGGAAACUAAAUAUUAUAACUCAGAUCGUCUUUGUAGAACAAACAGUGAUGCUGUGGAAGGAUCUCCAGUAGCAGUCAGUCUUGCAAUGUCUUUAAAGAGGCCUCUGACUGAAAACUAUUGCUGUGUAACAAUGUUAACAUGCUACCGGCUCCAUAUGACAUCAUCAGCCACUAAUCCACCUCCUUUGCUUUUGCUGCUCCUCAGUUUUCAUUCACUGAUGUUACCUGAAUGCAAACAUAACAGAGGUCCAGCAGGUAGGCUGUUCCAGUGACCAGGGGUGUGUGUGUGUGUGUGUGUGUUCCAGUCAGUUGCUGAAGGAUCCCCAGGUUCUCUUCGCCGGUUAUAAAGUUCCUCACCCCUUGGAGCAUAAGAUCGUCAUCCGGGUCCAGACCACACCUGACUACAGUCCCCAGGAAGCUUUCACCAAUGCCAUCACAGACUUGAUCAGUGAGCUGUCACUGCUGGAGGAACGCUUCCGGGUCGCCAUUAAAGACAAACAGGAAGGUAUCGAGUGACCCCGCCCACUCUGAUGACCUCACUGCAGCCCCCUUUCCCUCCCGGGUGUUUUUUCUAAUAAAGAUCUGACGUCAUGUCCUUA
Molecule: long non-coding RNA, 721 nt
Organism: Xiphophorus hellerii (green swordtail)
Lineage: Eukaryota; Metazoa; Chordata; Actinopteri; Cyprinodontiformes; Poeciliidae
Exons: 2
Source: RefSeq, a predicted model, not a curated record